CACCUGUUCUUGCCUCUCUGCAUUGGGUCCCGAUCAAAAGUAGAAUUGAUUUCAAAGUACUCCUUCUAACAUAUAAAGCUCUAUUUUAGCUCCAAAUGACCUCUAGGAAUGAGUUGUCCUCUAUUGAUCACCAGUAUCACUUCAUUCCCAGAGUGCAGGUUUCCUUGUAAUUCCAAGAAUAUCAAAAAGCACAAUAGGAGGCAUAGCCUUUAGCUAUCGAGCCCCCCUCCAGUGGAAUAAUCCGAGAUGGAUCUCCAUCCGAGAUGCAGACACCCUUUCCAUAUUCAAAUCGAGACUCAAGACAUUCCUCUUUAGUGCAUCCCAUAGUCAUGAAUAAUGCAUCAAAAACCCGUCACCUUUCGCAACAUUCUUCACCUCUUCUUACAUGUCGUCUUCACAGCUACGUAAAAAGAUGCAAGGGUUACAAACCGGAGCAAAGGUAAGAUCAAAAAUAAUAGGCUACAUGCAUUCUGCUGUAUACAAGUAAACAAUAUUCUAUGUAAGUAAAAGUUCAAUUUCACUGUGCCUAUUUCAUUGUUUUCCAGCUGCCUGUACCGCCGACUUGUGUCUCAGGCAGCAGCCAUCACAGCACUGCAUCACAGCAUUCUCUAUAUCUUAGUGAUGGAGAUCAUUUCCAAACACUGUUAAUGACUUAAGAAUAUAAUAAUCAAGUGCCUUGUAUUAUUAAUUACCUUAAAUGAAUCAUGUACUUAUGUAAGCAGGAACAUGGCUUUUCUGUGUUUCUGCGUGUGUGUAACUUAGAAUUUUAGGUGCCACUUAGUCUGCAUAUGUACAAGAGCAUGUUUAGACCUGAAGUGAUAAGAAGGGACGAACUGUGCUUCUUCCGACCUUGUGCAAAACUUCCAUCCUUGCCUCGGACAUCAGAAAUCCACCACGUGGUUAUCUCUGCUGAACGCUCAACUUCACAGUAUUGCAUCACAGCAUUCUCUAUAUCUUAGUGACAUGGCAGUGGAAAUAAUUAUGGCCUUCCAUUCCAUUCCCAGCUUACAACAACAAAGACAAAAUACAAGAAUAGUCUUGUCUCAGAAAACACGCUUCAAAUGGCCUUGAAUUUGUUUGUUGAAUUUGGCCUGAUUGGUAAUAGGUCAGCCUGCAUUGUGCCAAAGCUGCCCAGGUUCUGUUCUCUUAGGUACACCCUUUCUCUUUCUCUCUCAGGUUUGUGUUAAUCAUACUGCAGGCCAAUGUCCAGCCAGCACGUUUUAGGCCCAUCGUGGGUCCAGGUUUCUUGAAACAAACAGUUUUCUACAAAGAGGUGUGUAGGCCCCCUCCUGAUAUGUGUUUAGGGUCCGUGUACUUUGCGGCCAACGGAUUUUCGUUUUGAAAUGAAGAAAAUCAGACAACGGGUCGUUUUUUCGUUUUCAGUUUUCUAUUAUCAAAACAAAAAAACGGAAAAUGGGUGGUUUCCCGUUUGUUGUUUUCCUAUUUCUAAAUGGUAAUUGGGAAACAGCUCGCUUCCCGAUUUUGGUUUUCUCAUUUCAAAACGAAAAUCCGUUGGCCGCAAAGUACACGGACCGUUUAGAUUAUUUAUUCAGUUUAAAAUGGUAUUUAGGAAUUGUUAGUUUCCGCAGUUAUUUCUGUUCAGCCAAAGCAAAUAAUAAGAAUAAUCAUAAUACAUAAAACAACAACAAGAACAAAACUAAAACAUUGAUAGAAAAUAAAUCUUUCUUUCUAUGAUGUGUUGGUAAUGCUAAUAAAAAAAUGAAAACUGUGUCAGCAGUAUUUGUCUUCUGUAAUCCCUGUAACUACAAAAGCACUGGGCCAGUGGGUUGAUGGAAGUUGAUGGAAGGCACAUCUACAAGUAAUAGAAAGUAAUGGCUUGGCUAGUAGAAUUUAGGUCAGUGCAUUGUGUCCAUGUCUGCAGAAAAAUGAACCAAUGCUACAUUGUCCAAUCCAACUGAACGUGACUCUUUUGAGCCAAUCCAACUGAACGUGACUCUUUUGAGCCAAUCCAACUGAACGUGACUCUUUUGAGCCAAUCCAACUGAACGUGACUCUUUUGAGCCAAUCCAACUGAACGUGACUCUUUUGAGCCAAUCCAACUGAACAUGACUCUUUUGAGUCAAUCCAACUGAAUGUGACUCUUUUGAGCCAAUCCAACUGAACAUGACUCUUUUGAGCCAAUCCAACUGAACGUGACUCUUUUGAGCCGGCUAGAACUGGCUGCAGCGCCGACACAUCACUGCAUCACUGAAGCAUGAUCAAAUAAGUAUUCAAGAAUUUGAAAUAUGUAUUCAAUUUCCAAACAGGCCUUAUUUCAUGGGCCAGCUACACCACUUUUCACACAAGUCAAAUCUGUACUACUGUGUGUAAGCAACUCAGAUUUUUUAUUGAAAUUAGGCUUUAGUUUAGGAAAACGUAUUGUGAAGCUAUGAAGGUCAAAAUGAGCAUGUCAGAGAUGUAAUAGGUCUGUACAUUUUGUAAUAGUGGUUUCAAAUAUAAGUGGAGCAGACAGACAUUUCAUCAUGAAUACCUUCACUUCAGAGCAGUUGGUGCCUCAAUGUCUGUGGCUCAGAAUCACAUGAGGGGAUCUAAUAUCAAGUUGUCAUUUAUAGAAAACCAAUUGAUUUAAUUCUGACCAGCUGCCAAAGUGCAUUCACAUGGAGUUCCAGCGUGCCCUUGACGCAGAUUGAAUCAAUGAAAUGUGUGUGUGUGUGUGUGUCUGCCCCCAAACAGACACACACCACUGGUUGAUGAACUUGAACUAAAACACCUGGCUGUGACACUAUUAUUACACUGUCAUUGUGUAAAAGCACUUCUUUUUUUUCUGUUGAAUUGAAAGUGGAAAAAAAGAAUCUCACAUUCAAUGAGCAGUUAACAUCAGACGCCCAAAUGUUAACAGCACAGAAUUAAUUUGCACUGGUGCACAAAAAAACAGUAUUGUCACACAGCACACCUCAUAGGAUAAAUCAAAUGAGAAACCCACAGCAUUUCAACAAUGGAAAAGCAGAACAAUCCACCAUGCAUGUC
Molecule: long non-coding RNA, 2988 nt
Organism: Clupea harengus (Atlantic herring)
Lineage: Eukaryota; Metazoa; Chordata; Actinopteri; Clupeiformes; Clupeidae
Source: Ensembl